Molecule: ribosomal RNA, 1355 nt
Filed under: uncultured bacterium
Lineage: Bacteria
Description: bacterial SSU rRNA
Rfam family: Bacterial small subunit ribosomal RNA
Source: RNAcentral
AGUCGAACGGAGUACUUCGGUACUUAGUGGCGAACGGGUGAGUAACACAUAAACAAUCUACCCUGAAGACUGGGAUAACGGUUGGAAACGACCGCUAAUACCGGAUAGGUAACUUAAAGGCAUCUUUGAGUUAUUAAAGUUGGGAUACAACACUGCAGGAUGAGUUUAUGUCGCAUUAGCUAGUUGGCGGGGCAACGGCCCACCAAGGCGAUGAUGCGUAGCCGGUCUGAGAGGAUGAACGGCCACAUUGGGACUGAGACACGGCCCAGACUCCUACGGGAGGCAGCAGUAGGGAAUUUUCGGCAAUGGGGGAAACCCUGACCGAGCAACGCCGCGUGAACGAUGAAGGUCUUUGGAUUGUAAAGUUCUGUUACGAGGGAAGAAUGGAUAUGAUAGGGAAUGAUCAUAUCAGGGACGGUACCUCGCCAGAAAGCCACGGCUAACUAUGUGCCAGCAGCCGCGGUAAUACAUAGGUGGCAAGCGUUAUCCGGAAUUAUUGGGCGUAAAGGGUGUGUAGGCGGUUGGUUAAGUUUGUGGUGAAAGCGUAAGGCUCAACCUUAUUAAGCCACAAAAACUGGCUAACUAGAGUGCAGUAGAGGCAAGUGGAAUUCCAUGUGUAGCGGUAAAAUGCGUAGAUAUAUGGAGGAACACCAGUGGCGAAGGCGGCUUGCUGGGCUGUAACUGACGCUAAGGCACGAAAGCGUGGGGAGCAAAUAGGAUUAGAUACCCUAGUAGUCCACGCUGUAAACGAUGAAUACUAAGUGUAGGGGAAACUCUGUGCUGCAGCUAACGCAAUAAGUAUUCCGCCUGGGGAGUACGUUCGCAAGAAUGAAACUCAAAGGAAUUGACGGGGACCCGCACAAGCGGUGGAUUAUGUGGUUUAAUUCGACGCAACGCGAAGAACCUUACCAAGCCUUGACAUCCCUGGCGAAGACUUAGAGAUAAGUUGGGGGUAACCGGGUGACAGGUGGUGCAUGGUUGUCGUCAGCUCGUGUCGUGAGAUGUUGGGUUAAGUCCCGCAACGAGCGCAACCCUUGUCUUUAGUUACCAUCAUUCAGUUGGGGACUCUAGAGAGACUGCCGGUGACAAACCGGAGGAAGGUGGGGAUGACGUCAAAUCAGCAUGCCCCUUACGGCUUGGGCUACACACGUAAUACAAUGGCAUAUACAAAGGGAUGCGAAGGGGCGACCCGGAGCGAAACUCAUAAAGUAUGUCUCAGUUCGGAUUAGAGUCUGCAACUCGACUCUAUGAAGUUGGAAUCGCUAGUAAUCGUGGAUCAGCACGCCACGGUGAAUACGUUCUCGGGUCUUGUACACACCGCCCGUCAAACCAUGAGAGUUGGCAAUGCCCAAAGC